CAGACAGGGAACAGGGUGGCUGGAGAGAGCCCUGCUUCCCUUCUCCAUCCUUGCUCCCUCAGGCUUCACUUCCCAACAGGCCAAGGAAAAGUAACUCUGCCGGGGGCACCUCCAAGACACCCAGGACAUUCUUGAUAAAUCUGUCCGCAGAAGCAGUCCUGCAUGAGUCAAGGAAAUCACCUGAUGGCCAGCGAGCCAAGGCUAACCGAGCAUUUUCAACAUGCCUGCUACCACUCGGCACAGGCACCCUGACGGCCCUGGGAAUGCAAAGAAAAUACCAUUAUAAGCCAGUCAGCAACAUUUUUCAAACAGGAUUUUCUCAAAUAAUUAUUUUUAAUCUAUCAUCCUAAAGAGAAUCUGAACACCUUUUUUGGCCAUUGCUGUAUUAGGAUUAUAGCAUUUUAAUCUGUGAAACAAUCAUUUAAUAUCUACAACAUCCAAAACAUUGUGCUAGGUAUUGGGGGUGAGUUUGGG
Molecule: long non-coding RNA, 474 nt
Filed under: Equus asinus (donkey)
Lineage: Eukaryota; Metazoa; Chordata; Mammalia; Perissodactyla; Equidae
Description: lncRNA (ENSEASG00005025205.1)
Source: RNAcentral